This 71-nucleotide transfer RNA is filed under the name Micrura bella. Its description in RNAcentral is "tRNA-Gln". The record is from RNAcentral. Lineage: Eukaryota; Metazoa; Nemertea; Pilidiophora; Heteronemertea; Lineidae.
UAUAAAAUAGUGUAGGUGUAUGCACGGGGAUUUUUGGAGUCUCAGGAACUGAUUUCCUUCAGUUUUUAUAG